Long non-coding RNA from Hydra vulgaris (swiftwater hydra), 1682 nucleotides. RefSeq lists it as uncharacterized. NCBI's taxonomy places the organism in Eukaryota, Metazoa, Cnidaria, Hydrozoa, Anthoathecata, Hydridae. The record is from RefSeq and is a predicted model, not a curated record.
CUAUCGAAUUUUAGUUUAUUUAUAGCAAUUAUAUAAUGAGUGUUUCAGAAAUAGACUAUCUUCGACAAGAAGCAGAAGAUUUAAAGAGACAAAUCAGCGAUGCACGCAAAGUUGCUCAAGAUACAAAUUUUUUAUUGGUUACUCAAAAUGUAGAUCAAAUAAGCAAAAUUCGAAUGCGAACUAGAAAAAAACUGUAGUCAUACUCGAAUAAUUAGUGCAAUACAUUGGCAUGUAUGGCACUAAUUUUUUGAGUGUGAUGUGAUUCAAUUGAAUCUUGUGCAACACUUACUAAUCUCCAUAAGGAGUUUACUAAGUGUUGCACAAGAUAGCAAGCUAAUUGUUUGGAACACCUACUCAAAAAAAAAGGUUUAUGCUUUUUCGUCCGAAAAACAAAUUGUUUUAUGACAUGUGCAUAUGCUCAGUCUGGAGAUUAUGUUGCUUCUGGUAGCGCCGACAAAAUUUGUACAAUUUACAAUUUAAAAACAAAACAACAUAUUAUAAUAACACGGGAGUUGUAUGGACAUACAGGUCAUGUAACUUGUUGCAGAUUUUUAGAUGAUGAUCAAAUUUUAACAAGUUUGCAGAUCUUGUCAAAAUUUGAGCGUCAUCUAAAAAUCUGCAAGAUAAAACUUGUUGUUUGUGGGACAUUCAACUGGACAACUGGAUGUUUUUGCGUCAUACUGACGAUCUUUUUGCAAUGAUAUACGUGACGACUGUUUUCUAAAACUUUUUCUAUAAGCGGACGACUAAAAGAUGUUGAAAUUAAAAGAGCUCACCGCACUGGACGAAAAAAUGAUGGACGACCAAAGACUAUAAUAUUAAAUCUUCAGAAAUAUAAAGAGAAAAUAAGAAUAUUAAAGGAAUUGUAUCGACUCAAAGGCACAAAUACGUUCGUGAACAAAGAUUUUUCUCAAGAAACCAUCGCUAUUCCAAAAUAAUUGUUUGCUGAAGUGAAAGAAAGGCGAUUGAAUGGUGAAAGUGUUACGGUAAGGUUCUUCAGAAGAUGACAAGUCACCUAUUAAAUAACAACGGUCGCCGGUUGACAGGAAAAAAAGCUCACCAAAAAAACGUCGUGAUGAUAGAGAUUUGCUGCGUCGUAAUGACAAACAUACAGUACGCAGUGAUAAUGAUAAAGAGAUUAAACGUCGUGAUAAUAGUGAUUUUUUACGUGACGAGGAAAGAAAUUCUAAAAACCGUUAUAAUAUGACACAUCGUGAUAAACAUAAUAAAGAUUCAUCUCGUCAUAAUAGUGAAAUUGAAAAUAAAAGAACGAAAGAAUAUGAUCAAAAAGUUGAAGAAGUUAACAAAAAAGAAGAUAGAAGUAGAAACUCGUCAAAAAGAAGACACCACGAAGAUGAUUAUCAUGAAAAUAAAAAAAGUAAAAAUGACUCGUCACGAGAUCGCGAAGUAGCAACUGAACUUUUAUAUCAAAGAAGAAAAGGAGAAGACAGAGAUUAUAUUGAUAAAUAUAAGAAAAAUAAGGAUUUAGAGUCACCACGGAGAAGGCGAUCCAGUGACAAACAUUUAACACGAUCACGAUGAACAACUGAUCUGAGCAUGAUUGAAAAAAUAUUACUGCCGCAUUAUUGAAAAGCGCAGCGCCACAAGUCCUUAAAUUUUGAAAAAAUUUGGACAUGAAUAAGAAUGCCGUUAUUUUAAUAAAAAUACACCAUUAAAAGUUA